This 66-nucleotide small RNA is filed under the name Microvirga massiliensis. Its description in RNAcentral is "Makes More Granules Regulator RNA (mmgR)". It matches the Rfam family "Makes More Granules Regulator RNA (mmgR)", at positions 7 to 73 of the family's 77-position model. From Rfam's summary of the family: SuhB later renamed mmgR (makes more granules regulator) was a putative non-coding RNA found multiple times in the Agrobacterium tumefaciens genome and related alpha-proteobacteria. Other non-coding RNAs uncovered in the same analysis include: speF, ybhL, metA, and serC. The record is from RNAcentral. Lineage: Bacteria; Pseudomonadati; Pseudomonadota; Alphaproteobacteria; Hyphomicrobiales; Methylobacteriaceae.
CACUGCCCUUCUUGGGCGUUUCCUCCCUAAACUUCGGGCCGCCUCCCAGGCGGCCUUUUUUCUGUC